RNAcentral lists this ribosomal RNA (252 nucleotides) under Clostridioides difficile. RNAcentral describes it as "partial 23S ribosomal RNA". It matches the Rfam family "Bacterial large subunit ribosomal RNA", at positions 2671 to 2925 of the family's 2925-position model. The record is from RNAcentral. Lineage: Bacteria; Bacillati; Bacillota; Clostridia; Peptostreptococcales; Peptostreptococcaceae.
CCUGUCCUUAGUACGAGAGGACCGGGAUGGACGUACCUCUGGUGUACCAGUUGUCCUGCCAAGGGCAUGGCUGGGUAGCUAUGUACGGAAUGGAUAAGCGCUGAAAGCAUCUAAGCGCGAAGCCAACUUCAAGAUAAGAUUUCCCACCGCAAGGGUAAGACCCCAGAAAGACUAUCUGGUUGAUAGGUCGAAGGUGUAAGUGCAGCAAUGUAUUUAGCUUAUCGAUACUAAUAGGUCGAGGACUUGACCAAU